UUAAGCGACUAAGCGUACACGGUGGAUGCCCUGGCAGUCAGAGGCGAUGAAGGACGUGCUAAUCUGCGAAAAGCGUCGGUAAGGUGAUAUGAACCGUUAUAACCGGCGAUGUCCGAAUGGGGAAACCCAGUGCAAUUCGUUGCACUAUCGUUAACUGAAUACAUAGGUUAACGAGGCGAACCGGGGGAACUGAAACAUCUAAGUACCCCGAGGAAAAGAAAUCAACCGAGAUUCCCCCAGUAGCGGCGAGCGAACGGGGAGCAGCCCAGAGUCUGAAUCAGCUUGUGUGUUAGUGGAACGGUCUGGAAAGUCCGACGGUACAGGGUGAUAGUCCCGUACACCAAAAUGCACAGGUUGUGAACUCGAAGAGUAGGGCGGGACACGUGGUAUCCUGUCUGAAUAUGGGGGGACCAUCCUCCAAGGCUAAAUACUCCUGACUGACCGAUAGUGAACCAGUACCGUGAGGGAAAGGCGAAAAGAACCCCGGCGAGGGGAGUGAAAAAGAACCUGAAACCGUGUACGUACAAGCAGUGGGAGCACCUUCGGGUGUGACUGCGUACCUUUUGUAUAAUGGGUCAGCGACUUAUAUUCUGUAGCAAGGUUAACCGUAUAGGGGAGCCGCAGGGAAACCGAGUCUUAACUGGGCGUUAAGUUGCAGGGUAUAGACCCGAAACCCGGUGAUCUAGCCAUGGGCAGGUUGAAGGUUGGGUAACACUAACUGGAGGACCGAACCGACUAAUGUUGAAAAAUUAGCGGAUGACUUGUGGCUGGGGGUGAAAGGCCAAUCAAACCGGGAGAUAGCUGGUUCUCCCCGAAAGCUAUUUAGGUAGCGCCUCGUGAAUUCAUCUUCGGGGGUAGAGCACUGUUUCGGCUAGGGGGUCAUCCCGACUUACCAACCCGAUGCAAACUACGAAUACCGAAGAAUGUUAUCACGGGAGACACACGGCGGGUGCUAACGUCCGUCGUGAAGAGGGAAACAACCCAGACCGCCAGCUAAGGUCCCAAAGUCAUGGUUAAGUGGGAAACGAUGUGGGAAGGCACAGACAGCCAGGAUGUUGGCUUAGAAGCAGCCAUCAUUUAAAGAAAGCGUAAUAGCUCACUGGUCGAGUCGGCCUGCGCGGAAGAUGUAACGGGGCUAAACCAUGCACCGAAGCUGCGGCAGCGACACUAUGUGUUGUUGGGUAGGGGAGCGUUCUGUAAGCCUGCGAAGGUGGCCUGUGAGGGUUGCUGGAGGUAUCAGAAGUGCGAAUGCUGACAUAAGUAACGAUAAAGCGGGUGAAAAGCCCGCUCGCCGGAAGACCAAGGGUUCCUGUCCAACGUUAAUCGGGGCAGGGUGAGUCGACCCCUAAGGCGAGGCCGAAAGGCGUAGUCGAUGGGAAACAGGUUAAUAUUCCUGUACUUGGUGUUACUGCGAAGGGGGGACGGAGAAGGCUAUGUUAGCCGGGCGACGGUUGUCCCGGUUUAAGCAUGUAGGCUGGUUGUCCAGGCAAAUCCGGAUAAUCAAGGCUGAGGUGUGAUGACGAGGCACUACGGUGCUGAAGUAACAAAUGCCCUGCUUCCAGGAAAAGCCUCUAAGCAUCAGGUAACAUCAAAUCGUACCCCAAACCGACACAGGUGGUCAGGUAGAGAAUACCAAGGCGCUUGAGAGAACUCGGGUGAAGGAACUAGGCAAAAUGGUGCCGUAACUUCGGGAGAAGGCACGCUGGUGUGUAGGUGAAGUCCCUGCGGAUGGAGCUGAGACCAGUCGAAGAUACCAGCUGGCUGCAACUGUUUAUUAAAAACACAGCACUGUGCAAACACGAAAGUGGACGUAUACGGUGUGACGCCUGCCCGGUGCCGGAAGGUUAAUUGAUGGGGUUAUCCGUAAGGAGAAGCUCUUGAUCGAAGCCCCGGUAAACGGCGGCCGUAACUAUAACGGUCCUAAGGUAGCGAAAUUCCUUGUCGGGUAAGUUCCGACCUGCACGAAUGGCGUAAUGAUGGCCAGGCUGUCUCCACCCGAGACUCAGUGAAAUUGAACUCGCUGUGAAGAUGCAGUGUACCCGCGGCAAGACGGAAAGACCCCGUGAACCUUUACUAUAGCUUGACACUGAACAUUGAGCCUUGAUGUGUAGGAUAGGUGGGAGGCUUUGAAGCGUGGACGCCAGUCUGCGUGGAGCCAACCUUGAAAUACCACCCUUUAAUGUUUGAUGUUCUAACGUUGGCCCCUGACCGGGGUUGCGGACAGUGUCUGGUGGGUAGUUUGACUGGGGCGGUCUCCUCCCAAAGCGUAACGGAGGAGCACGAAGGUUAGCUAAUCCUGGUCGGACAUCAGGAGGUUAGUGCAAUGGCAUAAGCUAGCUUGACUGCGAGCGUGACGGCGCGAGCAGGUGCGAAAGCAGGUCAUAGUGAUCCGGUGGUUCUGAAUGGAAGGGCCAUCGCUCAACGGAUAAAAGGUACUCCGGGGAUAACAGGCUGAUACCGCCCAAGAGUUCAUAUCGACGGCGGUGUUUGGCACCUCGAUGUCGGCUCAUCACAUCCUGGGGCUGAAGUAGGUCCCAAGGGUAUGGCUGUUCGCCAUUUAAAGUGGUACGCGAGCUGGGUUUAGAACGUCGUGAGACAGUUCGGUCCCUAUCUGCCGUGGGCGCUGGAGAAUUGAGGGGGGCUGCUCCUAGUACGAGAGGACCGGAGUGGACGCAUCACUGGUGUUCGGGUUGUCAUGCCAAUGGCACUGCCCGGUAGCUAAAUGCGGAAGAGAUAAGUGCUGAAAGCAUCUAAGCACGAAACUUGCCCCGAGAUGAGUUCUCCCUGAGACUUUAAGUCUCCUGAAGGAACGUUAAAGACGAUGACGUUGAUAGGCCGGGUGUGUAAGCGCAGCGAUGCGUUGAGCUAACCGGUACUAAUGAACCGUGAGGCUUAACCUU
This 2900-nucleotide ribosomal RNA is filed under the name Klebsiella pneumoniae. RNAcentral describes it as "bacterial LSU rRNA". It matches the Rfam family "Bacterial large subunit ribosomal RNA". Lineage: Bacteria; Pseudomonadati; Pseudomonadota; Gammaproteobacteria; Enterobacterales; Enterobacteriaceae. The record is from RNAcentral.